AACUGCACAACAGGCUCAGGUCCCAGUGGCGACUGAGGAUGUGGCUGUCCAGGUGACGGAAAAAGAAGGGAUCCUGCCCGAUCCUGACCAGAAAGGUUUCCGCAAGCAAGCCAUGGAGCAAGACUGUGGGCUAAUAGCUGCCUUUGAAGCCGAGAAGUGGGCAGUCGAGAGAAAAGGAGACCCAUCGGUGGGACUGCCUGAAGGGGACGGCAUUAAAAAGAGGGAGAAACAGAGGAGAAAAUCGGUACCCAAUCAGAAAAGGAUGAUGGAGCUGAAUGACUCCCCCGCUUCCCAGAGCAGUAACUUCCAUCAAAAUGCAGUCCAAGAAAAA
This is a long non-coding RNA of Protobothrops mucrosquamatus (brown spotted pit viper), 331 nucleotides long. RefSeq lists it as uncharacterized. NCBI's taxonomy places the organism in Eukaryota, Metazoa, Chordata, Lepidosauria, Squamata, Viperidae. The record is from RefSeq and is a predicted model, not a curated record. The transcript is spliced from 3 exons.